UGUAGGAACUUACAAAAUUCCCGAGGAAUGCAGCAUAAAUCUGACACCAUUUGAUAUUUAUACUUGCAAUAGAAUGUUUGAAGAGAAGGAAAGUUUGAUAGCUAGCUAGUCAUGCUCAUUUGAGGGAAUAGUUGACCUUAAUGGAUUUAGCUUUCUCAACAACCUAUUGAACUGUGAUUGGUUCUAGGUAUGAGCUGCUUCUUCCUCUUAUCUUUUUGGA
RNAcentral lists this long non-coding RNA (220 nucleotides) under Trifolium pratense (red clover). RNAcentral's name for it is "long non-coding RNA (TPRA_LNC000839)". Lineage: Eukaryota; Viridiplantae; Streptophyta; Magnoliopsida; Fabales; Fabaceae. The record is from RNAcentral.